UACAGAGGGUGCAAGCGUUAAUCGGAAUUACUGGGCGUAAAGCGCGCGUAGGUGGUUUGUUAAGUUGGAUGUGAAAGCCCCGGGCUCAACCUGGGAACUGCAUUUGAGACUGCUCUGCUCGGGUGCGGAAGAGGGAAGCGGAAUUUCCGGUGUAGCGGUGAAAUGCGUAGAUAUCGGAAGGAACACCAGUAGCGAAAGCGGCUUCCUGGUCCGACACCGACGUUCAGGCACGAAAGCGUGGGGAGCAAACAGG
Molecule: ribosomal RNA, 253 nt
Filed under: uncultured bacterium
Lineage: Bacteria
Description: partial 16S ribosomal RNA
Rfam family: Bacterial small subunit ribosomal RNA
Source: RNAcentral